This 200-nucleotide ribosomal RNA is filed under the name uncultured Glomus. RNAcentral's name for it is "partial small subunit ribosomal RNA". It matches the Rfam family "Eukaryotic small subunit ribosomal RNA", at positions 591 to 797 of the family's 1831-position model. Lineage: Eukaryota; Fungi; Glomeromycota; Glomeromycetes; Glomerales; Glomeraceae. The record is from RNAcentral.
CCAAUAGCGUAUAUUAAAGUUGUUGCAGUUAAAAAGCUCGUAGUUGAAUUUCGGGAUCAGUUGGUCGGUCGUGCCUUGGUACGUACUGGCUAAAUCGAUUCCUCCCUUCUGACGAACCGCGAUGUCAUUAAUUUGGUGUCAUGGGGAAUCAGGACUGUUACUUUGAAAAAAUUAGAGUGUUUAAAGCAGGCUCGCGCUUG